Molecule: ribosomal RNA, 468 nt
Filed under: uncultured bacterium
Lineage: Bacteria
Description: partial 16S ribosomal RNA
Rfam family: Bacterial small subunit ribosomal RNA
Source: RNAcentral
GAUGAACGCUGGCGGCGUGCUUAACACAUGCAAGUCGAACGGAAAGGCCCAAGCUUGCUUGGGUACUCGAGUGGCGAACGGGUGAGUAACACGUGGGUGAUCUGCCCUGCACUUCGGGAUAAGCCUGGGAAACUGGGUCUAAUACCGGAUAGGACGAUGGUUUGGAUGCCAUUGUGGAAAGUUUUUUCGGUGUGGGAUGAGCUCGCGGCCUAUCAGCUUGUUGGUGGGGUAAUGGCCUACCAAGGCGUCGACGGGUAGCCGGCCUGAGAGGGUGUACGGCCACAUUGGGACUGAGAUACGGCCCAGACUCCUACGGGAGGCAGCAGUGGGGAAUAUUGCACAAUGGGCGCGAGCCUGAUGCAGCGACGCCGCGUGGGGGAUGACGGCCUUCGGGUUGUAAACUCCUUUCGCUAGGGACGAAGCGUUUUUGUGACGGUACCUGGAGAAGAAGCACCGGCUAACUACGUG